GGGAGCUUAGCUCAGUUGGUAGAGCGCUACCCUUACAAGGUAGAUGCCACUGGUUCGAGUCCAGUAGUUCCCACCA
This 76-nucleotide transfer RNA is filed under the name Campylobacterales bacterium. RNAcentral's name for it is "tRNA-Val". It matches the Rfam family "tRNA". Rfam says of the family: Transfer RNA (tRNA) molecules are approximately 80 nucleotides in length. RNAcentral also lists the same sequence under 6 other names. The record is from RNAcentral. Lineage: Bacteria; Pseudomonadati; Campylobacterota; Epsilonproteobacteria; Campylobacterales.